AAGAUUGGUGUGAUGAUUUCCAGGCACACAUCUGACAAUUCCAUGUGGAAUUUAACUACUAGGCUU
RNAcentral lists this small nucleolar RNA (66 nucleotides) under Nannospalax galili (Upper Galilee mountains blind mole rat). Its description in RNAcentral is "Small nucleolar RNA SNORD121A (ENSNGAG00000006313.1)". The record is from RNAcentral. Lineage: Eukaryota; Metazoa; Chordata; Mammalia; Rodentia; Spalacidae.